This is a non-coding RNA of Caenorhabditis elegans, 73 nucleotides long. The record is from the annotation of a RefSeq genome assembly. Lineage: Eukaryota; Metazoa; Nematoda; Chromadorea; Rhabditida; Rhabditidae.
GCAACAGUGGCUCAGUCGGAUAGAGGUUUCAUUGGGACUCUGAAGGUCCCUGGUUCGAACUCCACCUGUGGCC